This is a long non-coding RNA of Neopsephotus bourkii (Bourke's parrot), 593 nucleotides long. RefSeq lists it as uncharacterized. Lineage: Eukaryota; Metazoa; Chordata; Aves; Psittaciformes; Psittacidae. The transcript has 3 exons. The record is from RefSeq and is a predicted model, not a curated record.
CACUGACCGUUUUGAUCCCUACUCAGGUGCUCAGCUGCCCCAGGGAGCCACCGAUGGAGCCCAGGCCAUGCCCCACUGGAGCAGAAGUGAUUUCAGCCAGUCCCCAGAUGGAUGAGUCCCUGCAGAGCUCAGUCCCUCCUCGCAGAAGACAUUGUAGUCAAAGACCUAAUGAUCUUGAACAGGCUUCCUCCCAGGAGAAGGAACCUGAACAUCCUAGGGUGCUUUGAAGAUGUACCAGCCCUAGCCUAGACAAAAAAAUCUGUGUCCACAGCAAGGAGCAGGUGAUGUUGGGCUUCUGCAGGAAACAUGGUAACCAUGAGUCAUAGAAUCAUAGAACCAACUAGGUUGGAAAAGACCUCGUCCAGAGAAGCCAUCCCUUUACACAGCCAGAUAUUUCAAAGAUGAGCAUUGAGUUGAGGAAGCUCUGCAGGACCCAUGCGGAAGGGGUCACUCAGCACACCACUACCUCUGGGGAGACGAAGACUGCUUCCUGAAGGCACUGCAUGUUCCCUAGGUACGCCAUGGUCUUGCAGUCCCAGCUGACUUCUCUCCCACAGCUAUGGAGUAAUAAAAAAGCAUUGGGGAUCUAUGAA